GGAUUGGGGCUCAGUGGUAGAGUGCUUGCCUAGCAUGCGUGAGGCACUGGGUUCAAUUCUCAGCACCA
Molecule: transfer RNA, 68 nt
Filed under: Marmota monax (woodchuck)
Lineage: Eukaryota; Metazoa; Chordata; Mammalia; Rodentia; Sciuridae
Description: tRNA.Ala
Source: RNAcentral